Molecule: ribosomal RNA, 521 nt
Filed under: uncultured bacterium
Lineage: Bacteria
Description: bacterial SSU rRNA
Rfam family: Bacterial small subunit ribosomal RNA
Source: RNAcentral
AGAGUUUGAUCCUGGCUUAGGAUGAACGCUAGCUACAGGCUUAACACAUGCAAGUCGAGGGGCAGCAUGAAGUUUGCUUGCAAACUUGAUGGCGACCGGCGCACGGGUGAGUAACGCGUAUCCAACCUUCCCCUUAGUAGGGCAUAGCCCGAUGAAAAUCGGAUUAAUACCCUAUGUUGUCUUAUGAGGACAUCUGAGCAGGACCAAAGGUUUACCGCUAAGGGAUGGGGAUGCGUCCGAUUAGGUAGUCGGCGGGGUAACGGCCCACCGAGCCAUCGAUCGGUAGGGGUUCUGAGAGGAAGGUCCCCCACAUUGGAACUGAGACACGGUCCAAACUCCUACGGGAGGCAGCAGUGAGGAAUAUUGGUCAAUGGGCGAGAGCCUGAACCAGCCAAGUAGCGUGCAAGGAUGACGGCCCUAUGGGUUGUAAACUGCUUUUAUGCGGGGAUAAAGUGCGCCACGUGUGGCGUUUUGUAGGUACCGCAUGAAUAAGGACCGGCUAAUUCCGUGCCAGCAGCAGC